RNAcentral lists this long non-coding RNA (846 nucleotides) under Rattus norvegicus (Norway rat). RNAcentral's name for it is "long non-coding RNA NONRATT025198". The record is from RNAcentral. Lineage: Eukaryota; Metazoa; Chordata; Mammalia; Rodentia; Muridae.
AUGGCGGAACAUUGGGAAGCUGCACCCCGUCACAUGAUGCGUCUGGACAUCCGUUCCCUGCUACAAGAUGCUGCAAUUGAAGAAGUAGAGAUGGAAGAUUUUGAUGCAAACAUUGAAGACCAGAAGGAAGAAAAGAAAGAUGCAGAAGAAGAGGAAAGCGAACUGACAAGUUGGAUGGCUUGAGGACUGGUACUAAAAGGAAACGAGACUGGGAGGCAAUCGCCAGCAGAAUGGAGGACUACCUUCAGCUCCCUGAUGACUACGAAACUCGCGCUUCUGAACCUGGGAAGAAGAGGGUGAGAUGGGCAGACCUGGAAGAAAAGAAGGACGCAGACAGGAAAAGGGCCAUAGGUUUUGUGGUCGGGCAGACUGACUGGGAGAAGAUCACAGAUGAGAGCGGCCACCUGGCUGAGAGAGCCCUCAACCGGACCAAAUACAUAUGAGCCUUGGUUUGAAUGGAGUCACUCCUCUAAGCUGAUUCGAUUUGAGGUGACCUGAAGCCAAGACCUCCUGAAGCUUCUUUGUCAGGAAGCUUCUUGUGUCUCCACGUUUCAAUCUUGUUUUACCACUUUCAUUUUUAAAAGUUCUCCAGUGUCCCCAAGAAAAUUUAGAAUCUUGCUCUACCCAAGCAAGACACUGUUAAUAUUUUUUUUAACUGAUCUGGGGAGGGAGGGUCAGCUUAAGUGCUGAAGUCAGGUGUGGAUCCACAGGACUCCCAACAAGAUUCCCUCCUCUGCACCUGUCACAGACUAUCAUCAUUGCUUGGUGGCCGUUUUGUUUUUUACUGUAUGUAACUAGUAGCUGAUUGUACUUGGAUUAAAAACAAUAAACUUUCACUAUAAAGCC